CUGGCUACACCUAAUCCCGAGCCCACCUCCAACAUCCGGGAAAUCAUCAAGAAGUAUAACAACCGACCCCAAACGGAAGCCAAACCCUUUCUGCCUGUCAGACCUCCUACACGGCAUUUUGUAAAGAAGAAUGACCCCAAAGAGGAAGCUCUGGCCAAACUCAAAAACAAAGCACCAGUGCCACAGCCGAAGAACCAGUGGGUUCCUCCGCCAGCCGAGCCCAAGUGGCAGCCUCCUCCUCCCAGGACCCCGUCCCCACAGUCCUCCUCUCCUCCCUCCACCAGUGGGCCCCGUGUCA
Anoplopoma fimbria (sablefish) is the source of this 298-nucleotide long non-coding RNA. RefSeq lists it as uncharacterized. The transcript is spliced from 3 exons. NCBI's taxonomy places the organism in Eukaryota, Metazoa, Chordata, Actinopteri, Perciformes, Anoplopomatidae. The record is from RefSeq and is a predicted model, not a curated record.